CCCUUAGAUGUUCUGGGCCGCACGCGCGCUACACUGAUGCAUUCAACGAGCCUAUCCUUGACCGACAGGUCCGGGUAAUCUUUGAAUCUGCAUCGUGACGGGGAUAGAUUAUUGCAAUUAUUAAUCUUCAACGAGGAAUGCCUAGUAGGCGCAAGUCAUCAGCUUGCGUCGAUUACGUCCCUGCCCUUUGUACACACCGCCCGUCGCUCCUACCGAUUGAGUGGCCCGGUGAGGCUUUGGGAUCUGAGCGGAAAGAGCGUUUCGCUGUUUCUGCUCGGAAAACUCAGUCGAACCUUAUCAUUUAGAGGAAGGAGAAGUCGUAACA
Molecule: ribosomal RNA, 325 nt
Filed under: uncultured eukaryote
Lineage: Eukaryota
Description: partial 18S ribosomal RNA
Rfam family: Eukaryotic small subunit ribosomal RNA
Source: RNAcentral